Molecule: ribosomal RNA, 253 nt
Filed under: uncultured bacterium
Lineage: Bacteria
Description: partial 16S ribosomal RNA
Rfam family: Bacterial small subunit ribosomal RNA
Source: RNAcentral
UACAGAGGUCCCAAGCGUUGUUCGGAUUCAUUGGGCGUAAAGGGUGUGUAGGUGGCGCCGUAAGUCGGGUGUGAAAUUUCGGAGCUUAACUCCGAAACUGCAUUCGAUACUGCCGUGCUUGAGGACUGGAGAGGAGACUGGAAUUUACGGUGUAGCGGUGAAAUUCGUAGAUAUUCGGCGGAACACCAGUGGCGAAGGCGACUCACUGGCCCGAUACUGACGCUGAGGCGCGAAAGCGUGGGGAGCAAACAGG